This 577-nucleotide ribosomal RNA is filed under the name Pseudomonas sp. Air159. RNAcentral describes it as "bacterial SSU rRNA". It matches the Rfam family "Bacterial small subunit ribosomal RNA", at positions 82 to 655 of the family's 1533-position model. The record is from RNAcentral. Lineage: Bacteria; Pseudomonadati; Pseudomonadota; Gammaproteobacteria; Pseudomonadales; Pseudomonadaceae.
GCUUCUCUUGAGAGCGGCGGACGGGUGAGUAAUGCCUAGGAAUCUGCCUGGUAGUGGGGGAUAACGUUCGGAAACGGACGCUAAUACCGCAUACGUCCUACGGGAGAAAGCAGGGGACCUUCGGGCCUUGCGCUAUCAGAUGAGCCUAGGUCGGAUUAGCUAGUUGGUGAGGUAAUGGCUCACCAAGGCAACGAUCCGUAACUGGUCUGAGAGGAUGAUCAGUCACACUGGAACUGAGACACGGUCCAGACUCCUACGGGAGGCAGCAGUGGGGAAUAUUGGACAAUGGGCGAAAGCCUGAUCCAGCCAUGCCGCGUGUGUGAAGAAGGUCUUCGGAUUGUAAAGCACUUUAAGUUGGGAGGAAGGGCAUUAACCUAAUACGUUAGUGUUUUGACGUUACCGACAGAAUAAGCACCGGCUAACUCUGUGCCAGCAGCCGCGGUAAUACAGAGGGUGCAAGCGUUAAUCGGAAUUACUGGGCGUAAAGCGCGCGUAGGUGGUUUGUUAAGUUGGAUGUGAAAUCCCCGGGCUCAACCUGGGAACUGCAUUCAAAACUGACUGACUAGAGUAUGGUAGA